RNAcentral lists this unclassified non-coding RNA (363 nucleotides) under fungal sp. RNAcentral describes it as "partial internal transcribed spacer region". The stretch from base 1 to 46 matches the Rfam family "Eukaryotic small subunit ribosomal RNA", at positions 1786 to 1831 of the family's 1831-position model. The record is from RNAcentral. Lineage: Eukaryota; Fungi.
AAGUCGUAACAAGGUUUCCGUAGGUGAACCUGCGGAAGGAUCAUUACAAUACUUUUACAAGUAUCAACCCAAAUUGUUGCACUGAAUGAGCGUCCGAUAGGAAAUACAAAAGUGGUUUGAGAGAAUUGGCGGCUUUGUGAAGUGCAUCGGCAUUUCGGUCAGUUCUCGAUUUCUCGCAAGCAAUUGUGAGAAAGCCCUUUUUUUCCUAGUUCGCGUAUUUUCUCAUUUUUUUUUAACCCCUUUCACCAAAUUACAAUUUAAACAACGAUUGAACUGAAUUCGAAGGAUGCUGAAAAGCGUCUAAUUCGAUUCUAUCUUUACGAAACGUAAGAACAACUCUUAACAACGGAUAUCUUGGCUCUC